This 1138-nucleotide ribosomal RNA is filed under the name Enterococcus faecium. RNAcentral's name for it is "bacterial SSU rRNA". It matches the Rfam family "Bacterial small subunit ribosomal RNA", at positions 239 to 1370 of the family's 1533-position model. The record is from RNAcentral. Lineage: Bacteria; Bacillati; Bacillota; Bacilli; Lactobacillales; Enterococcaceae.
CAUUAGCUAGUUGGUGAGGUAACGGCUCACCAAGGCCACGAUGCAUAGCCGACCUGAGAGGGUGAUCGGCCACAUUGGGACUGAGACACGGCCCAAACUCCUACGGGAGGCAGCAGUAGGGAAUCUUCGGCAAUGGACGAAAGUCUGACCGAGCAACGCCGCGUGAGUGAAGAAGGUUUUCGGAUCGUAAAACUCUGUUGUUAGAGAAGAACAAGGAUGAGAGUAACUGUUCAUCCCUUGACGGUAUCUAACCAGAAAGCCACGGCUAACUACGUGCCAGCAGCCGCGGUAAUACGUAGGUGGCAAGCGUUGUCCGGAUUUAUUGGGCGUAAAGCGAGCGCAGGCGGUUUCUUAAGUCUGAUGUGAAAGCCCCCGGCUCAACCGGGGAGGGUCAUUGGAAACUGGGAGACUUGAGUGCAGAAGAGGAGAGUGGAAUUCCAUGUGUAGCGGUGAAAUGCGUAGAUAUAUGGAGGAACACCAGUGGCGAAGGCGGCUCUCUGGUCUGUAACUGACGCUGAGGCUCGAAAGCGUGGGGAGCAAACAGGAUUAGAUACCCUGGUAGUCCACGCCGUAAACGAUGAGUGCUAAGUGUUGGAGGGUUUCCGCCCUUCAGUGCUGCAGCUAACGCAUUAAGCACUCCGCCUGGGGAGUACGACCGCAAGGUUGAAACUCAAAGGAAUUGACGGGGGCCCGCACAAGCGGUGGAGCAUGUGGUUUAAUUCGAAGCAACGCGAAGAACCUUACCAGGUCUUGACAUCCUUUGACCACUCUAGAGAUAGAGCUUCCCCUUCGGGGGCAAAGUGACAGGUGGUGCAUGGUUGUCGUCAGCUCGUGUCGUGAGAUGUUGGGUUAAGUCCCGCAACGAGCGCAACCCUUAUUGUUAGUUGCCAUCAUUCAGUUGGGCACUCUAGCAAGACUGCCGGUGACAAACCGGAGGAAGGUGGGGAUGACGUCAAAUCAUCAUGCCCCUUAUGACCUGGGCUACACACGUGCUACAAUGGGAAGUACAACGAGUCGCGAAGUCGCGAGGCUAAGCUAAUCUCUUAAAGCUUCUCUCAGUUCGGAUUGCAGGCUGCAACUCGCCUGCAUGAAGCCGGAAUCGCUAGUAAUCGCGGAUCAGCACGCCGCGGUGAAUACG